CCUACGGGAGGCAGCAGUGGGGAAUAUUGGACAAUGGGCGAAAGCCUGAUCCAGCAAUGCCGCGUGAGUGAUGAAGGCCUUAGGGUUGUAAAGCUCUUUUACCCGGGAUGAUAAUGACAGUACCGGGAGAAUAAGCCCCGGCUAACUCCGUGCCAGCAGCCGCGGUAAUACGGAGGGGGCUAGCGUUGUUCGGAAUUACUGGGCGUAAAGCGCACGUAGGCGGUUAUUCAAGUCAGAGGUGAAAGCCUGGAGCUCAACUCCAGAACUGCCUUUGAAACUAGAUAACUAGAAUCAUGGAGAGGUGAGUGGAAUUCCGAGUGUAGAGGUGAAAUUCGUAGAUAUUCGGAAGAACACCAGUGGCCGAAGGCGGCUCACUGGACAUGUAUUGACGCUGAGGUGCGAAAGCGUGGGAGCAAACAGGAUUAGAUACCCUGGUAGUCCACGCCGUAAACGAUGAUAACCUAGUUNUCGGGGCUCUUAGAGCUUCGGUGACGCNGCUACGACUAUAAGUUAUCCG
This 517-nucleotide ribosomal RNA is filed under the name uncultured bacterium. RNAcentral's name for it is "bacterial SSU rRNA". It matches the Rfam family "Bacterial small subunit ribosomal RNA", at positions 338 to 871 of the family's 1533-position model. The record is from RNAcentral.